RNAcentral lists this ribosomal RNA (559 nucleotides) under uncultured soil bacterium. RNAcentral's name for it is "bacterial SSU rRNA". It matches the Rfam family "Bacterial small subunit ribosomal RNA", at positions 28 to 562 of the family's 1533-position model. The record is from RNAcentral.
AGCGAACGCUGGCGGCGUACUUAACACAUGCAAGUCGAACGGGGAUCGUCGUGUGAGUAAUCAUUCGGCGGUUCUAGUGGCGUACGGGUGAGUAACACGUGGGCAACCUGCCCUAGAGUUCGGGAUACCCUCUCGAAAGGGAGGCUAAUACCGGAUACGUUCCCAGGGUCGCAGGAUCCGGGGAGGAAAGGUGGCGCAAGCUACCGCUCUUGGAGGGGCUCGCGGCCUAUCAGCUAGUUGGUGAGGUAAUGGCUCACCAAGGCUAUGACGGGUAGCUGGUCUGAGAGGACGACCAGCCACACGGGAACUGAGACACGGUCCCGACUCCUACGGGAGGCAGCAGUGGGGAAUUUUCCGCAAUGGGCGAAAGCCUGACGGAGUGACGCCGCGUGGGGGACGAAGGCCUUCGGGUUGUAAACCCCUGUCAGAGGGAAAGAAGGGUGUCGGCGUGAACAGCGCCGGCAUUUGACGGUACCUUCAGAGGAAGCCCCGGCCAACUCUGUGCCAGCAGCCGCGGUAAGACAGAGGGGGCAAGCGUUGCUCGGAAUCACUGGGCGUA